RNAcentral lists this ribosomal RNA (429 nucleotides) under uncultured bacterium. Its description in RNAcentral is "bacterial SSU rRNA". It matches the Rfam family "Bacterial small subunit ribosomal RNA", at positions 355 to 796 of the family's 1533-position model. The record is from RNAcentral.
UCGAGGAUCUUCGGCAAUGGGCGCAAGCCUGACCGAGCGACGCCGCGUGGAUGAUGAAGGCCUUCGGGUUGUAAAAUCCUGUCGAGGGGGAUCAAGCGCAAGUUGAGUGAUCCCUGGAGGAAGCACGGGCUAAGUUCGUGCCAGCAGCCGCGGUAAGACGAACCGUGCAAACGUUAUUCGGAAUCACUGGGCAUAAAGGGCGCGUAGGCGGCUUGAUAAGUCAGGGGUGAAAUCCGGCAGCUUAACUGUCGCAGUGCCUUUGAUACUGUCGAGCUCGAGGGAGGUAGGGGUCUGUGGAACUUCCGGUGGAGCGGUGAAAUGCGUUGAUAUCGGAAGGAACGCCGGUGGCGAAAGCGACGGACUGGAUCUCUUCUGACGCUGAGGCGCGAAAGCCAGGGGAGCAAACGGGAUUAGAUACCCGGGUAGUCC